This 460-nucleotide ribosomal RNA is filed under the name uncultured bacterium. RNAcentral describes it as "partial 16S ribosomal RNA". It matches the Rfam family "Bacterial small subunit ribosomal RNA", at positions 338 to 795 of the family's 1533-position model. The record is from RNAcentral.
CCUACGGGAGGCAGCAGUGAGGAAUAUUGGUCAAUGGGCUUACGCCUGAACCAGCCAAGUCGCGUGAGGGAAGACUGCCCUAUGGGUUGUAAACCUCUUUUGUCAGGGAGCAAUUGGCGCUACGUGUAGCGUUAUCGAGAGUACCUGAAGAAAAAGCAUCGGCUAACUCCGUGCCAGCAGCCGCGGUAAUACGGAGGAUGCGAGCGUUAUCCGGAUUUAUUGGGUUUAAAGGGUGCGUAGGCGGAAUGCCAAGUCAGCGGUAAAAUCGCGGGGCUCAACCUCGCUCCGCCGUUGAAACUGGCGGUCUUGAGUGGGCGAGAAGUAUGCGGAAUGCGUGGUGUAGCGGUGAAAUGCAUAGAUAUCACGAAGAACUCCGAUUGCGAAGGCAGCAUACCGGCGCCCAACUGACGCUGAAGCACGAAAGCGUGGGUAUCGAACAGGAUUAGAUACCCGGGUAGUC